Molecule: long non-coding RNA, 37262 nt
Filed under: Ananas comosus (pineapple)
Lineage: Eukaryota; Viridiplantae; Streptophyta; Magnoliopsida; Poales; Bromeliaceae
Description: long non-coding RNA (ACOM_LNC032131)
Source: RNAcentral
CUUUUAAAAAGUGAGGACGAUCGGCUGCAAUGGAGCCGAUAUAAAAAUCAAAGCAAAGGUAAGGAAAAAUCCUUACUAGAAGAACAGUCGGUUCAAAAAGAGCCGAGCCAAUCAAGUAAAAGUGAAGAAUCGGUUGAAGAAGCCGAGGUAUAUAUGGCUGGUAAAGAGCCACUUUCUUCAAGGAGAAAUCCUUAAUAGAAGAACAUUCGGUUCAAGAAGAGCCGAAUCAAUCGAGUAAAAGUAAGAAUCGGCUGAUAGAGCCGAGGUAUAUGCAGCUGGGAUGAUAAAGAGUCGUUUUCUUUAAGCCGACCAAGACCAGCGAAACUAAAGCUUGGGUCUCGGCUAUACUAUUGAGCAGUCGAUUUAACACCAAUAGUCAUCCGAAUGUUUGUUCGAAAGACUAUUGAGGGGGCAUUGUUGAUGCCAAAUUUGAAAUGAACAUGCCGACCUAGCCCACGUAUGAGCCGAAGAAAUAAGGACACGUGAUACACCAGGAGUCGGCAAUAAGGCGCCUGAAGGCCAAGAGCGUUUAGGCGGGAACGGUUGAGAAAUAGGGCGUAACUUCUUAUGUGAAGUGGGGUAUAACUUCCAUAUGAAGUGGAACGUAACUUCCAUGAGAAGUGAGGCGUAACUUUCACGAUCAUGGUUACAACCACUCCCCAACCAACCAAUAAUGUGGGUUGAUGUUACUAUAAAUAGUAAUUUCAAAGCCUGCAAUAGAGGUCUUUCUCCCCCUUAAACGAGAAAACCACCAUAUUUUUCUUGCAAUUUUAUCGCUUUUCUUAGAGUAGUCUAAAUGUAAUUUUUUCUUUUUCGCAUUUACUGCUUUUCUAGGAGUAGUUUUUAAGUAGAACCCUGGAGUCUGUCUGCCCCACGGGCAUCACUCCGUUGUAAACUACAUAUUUGUAGAGUCUGUAUGCCCUUCGAGCACACUCUGUUUUAUAUAUAUAUAUAUAUAUAUAUAUAUAUAUAUAUAUAUAUAUAUAUGCAUUCGGCUCUUUCAACCGACCAGUCAUUAUAUAUUUUUUUCAUUCGGCUCUUUUGCCAACAUUGAUUCCUGCACAGUUCACACAUUCGGCUCCUCCAGCCGAAUCGAUUCUAUAGGACUGAUCUUCGAACCCGGCUGAACCGAUCCCUCGUCAGCCGAAUCGCUUGAUCUGUCGAAGGGCGCAAACUUCGAGAGUCACUAUUCGCAGCCGUUUCGCUUUCGGACGCGCUUCCCGAGAAGAAUCUUUGACUAGGUCAAGGGUCAGAAAAUACGGCUACCAACAAUAGCAUUCACCUAAUUGUAUCAAUUGGAAAUAAUUACUUUGCCACGCAAACAAUGAGAAAAUGCAAAAAAUAAAGCAAGUGAUAUAUUUUUCUGUUUAAACAAUACUCUCUGUAUGUGAAGUGAAGGUCCACUGCAGCUUCCAAACGGGUCAGGCAGCAGAACUUUUUAGUAGGGGAAAGUGUAGGACAGAAUACAUUCCCCUGGAAUACGAGUAGGCUGCCUCACACAUUCCGCGUGUGAGUGAAUGAAUAUAUACUCUCCGCAAUAUGGACAGCUCUUUACAGCUACGAUAUUAAUUGAUGGGCACAAGAACAAAAAAUAAUAAUAAAAAAAAAGGCCAUACCGAAGUACAUCCAAGCCCCGUUAUACCGCGAGUCCGCGGCCAACAAGCUCACGACCGAAAGAAACCAAAAAAUAUAUAUUAUACAUAUAUAAAAAAAAUAAAAAAAAAAGAAUCAAAAUAAUAAAAUUUCAUUGUGCCUAUACUUUACGAGGGAGGGUCGGAUCGGAUGGAAUCCCCCAAUCGAGUGCCGAAACCCGGACCCGCCAAACCCUGACCUCCCCAUCCAGGCUGGCGCUGCACACCCGAUACUCCUCCUCCGGCGGCGGCGUUCGGACUGCCGUAAUCGACCUGACGGCACUCGAGUGCCCGAUCAGCACCCCGAGGCAGCCGUGCUCGCUCCCGCCCCUCCGCCAAAUCCUCACCGUCCGAUCCGCGGAGCCGCUGAAGACGACGUUUCCGACGCAGGCGACGCACAGCACCGCCUUCUCGUGGCCCCGCAGCGCCCCCACCGCGGCCAUGCGGCCGCCCUCCUUCUCCCAGACCAAGAUCGACCUGUCGUUGGACCCCGAGUACAGCACCGCCCCCGCCUCGUCGCCGCCGCCGCCGCCGAUGGCCAGCGCGUUCACGGCCGACGCGUGCCGCUCCAACGUCGCCACCAGCGCGUGCCGCCGCUCCCCGCGCGCCCAGACUCGGAUGCUCCCGUCGGCCGACCCCGUGAAGACCUCCCCGUCGGGGGCGACGGCGACGGCGUUGACUGCGUCGUCGUGCGCCGCGAGGGACUCGACGCAGCGGAGGUCGGCGGCGCGCCAGAUCUUGAGGGUCUUGUCCCAGGAGGAGGAGUAGAGCAGGUCGCCGGCGGCCGCGGCGGCGACGGCGGAGACGGCGUCGGCGUGCUCGAUCCAGAGGCGGCGGCGGUGGCGGCGGACGCGGACGUAGCUGCCGGGGAGGGGGAGGCGGCGGACGCGGUCGGGCACGGUGGGGAGGGCGGCGGCCAGGCGGAGGCGGCCGGAGCGGCCGGAGCGGCGCCACACGCGGACUCGGCCGUCCUGGUGGGCGGUGAGGGCGCGGCGGCCGUCGGGGAGGAGCGCGACGGAUUUGAGCGCCCCCGCCGAGGGGGAGGCGGCGACGGUCUGGAUCGGGCGGAGGCCGCGGAGGUCGUAGAUGCAGAUCUCCGACGGAGUGGCGCAGUAGAGGAGGAGGGAGGCGGGGGAGGAGGCCAGAGCGGCGGCGGCACUGACGGCUGAUGCUGAUGCUGAUGCUGAUGCUGAUGAUGAGGGGCCGACGGCCGGUCGGAGAGAAGUGAGGUACGCGAAGGAGGCAGACGAGGGAGAGCAGGAAGAACAAGAAGAAGGAAUCAGGGAUGAUCGGAGGGAAGGAAGGGAGGGGCAGGUGAGGAGCGAGGCGGAGUCGUCGUCGUCGGAUGCGGCCAGAGGAAGGGAGCGGAGGGAGGAAGAAGGAUCGGCGGCGAGUUCAGCGAUCGCGUCGGCGCGCUUAGCAGCAGCGGAGGGAGCAGAGAAGGGGAGGCAGGCGCGGGGAAGCGGCAUCGGGGAGAAGAGGAGGGAAGAGAUUAAUAUUGGGAAGAGUACUACUGGAGGGAGGGAGGUAGAGCGCGAAAUGAGGGGAGGACGGUGUAGUAUAGUUGCGUUUAUGGACAAGUACAGGAGAAUAAAAGGAUUAACUUAUUGACACGUGGCGGAAUGUGAGAGGGUGAGAAGGAGAAUUCAAGCGAUAUGAUUGGUCCGAGGUUGGGCGUCGGUCGGGGAACGAGAAAGGUGAGCGGAGAGCAUCCGUGAGCAUGAGUUUUAGAACAUAUGCCUGCACCCGCACCAUUAUUCAACCCUAGUCCUCAUUCAAUCUAUCUAACGAGCAGAAUUUUCAGAUUUUUGAAAAAAUCGUAAAUAGUUCUCCACCUUUGGUUGUCCCGCUAACAUGGAGACACUAAUUAAAAAUAUAUAUAUUAGAAUAUACGAAAAGCCUAAAAAUCAGAUAACCAAUUUAAAUAUUUUAUUCAUUAUUAAUUAUUAUUAUUUUGUUUUUACUUUCAUUUCAUUAUCUUGAAAGUGAUGAAAAAUAAUUUACACUUUUAGGCCCCGUUUGGAUAUCCCUAAAAACGUUUUAUGCUAUAUCGGUAGGAAAAUAAUCCUAUGAAGCAUUUGGAUGAAAAAAAAAUGGAGUAAUUUUUUGAUUAUACUAUACUCCAAAAAAUAGAGUAAAAUUACAAUCCACUUUAAACAAAGAAAAACAAAUUCCACCAUUUUGAACUCCCUUACCUCAAAGAUGUAUCAAGUUCUAAAUAUUAAGUUUCAAUAUAAAAUUUUAAAUUUCAAUCUAAAAUUUAAUAGAUAAUUUCUGAUUUCAAUAAUUUUUAAAAUUUUAAAUUUAAAUUAAAAUUAAAUACUUUAAAAUUAAAAUUUAAAAAAUUUAAAACAUUUAACGAAUUUACAAAUUUGAAAUUUAAAAUUUCAUUUUAAUUUUUUAAUUUUCCAAUUUCAAAGAUUUAAAUUUAAAUUUUAAAUUUUCAAUUUUUAAAUUCAACUUAAAUUUUAAAAUUAUAAAUAUGUAAAUUUAUAAAUUUUUAUUUUUAAAUUUAAAUCUCAAAAUUUAAAAUAUAGAUUUUAAUUUAAAAUUUACAAAUUUUAAAUUUUAAUUUUACAUUCAAUUUCCAAAUUUUAAUUUAAAUAUUUAAAUUUAAAAUUUAAAAUUUAAAAUUUAGAAAUUAGAAUAUUUAUAAUUUUAAAUUUAAUAUCAAAUUUAUAAACUUUUAAUUCUAAUUAAUUAAAUGAGAACCUCUUAUUUAAAAUUUUAAUUUGAAAUUUAAAAUUUAUAAUUUUUAAUUUAUUAAAAUUCAAUUUUCAAUAUUUCAAAUUCAAUAUCGAAAUGUUAAAUUUCAAUUUUAUACUUGAAAUUCAUAUUUACAAUCUCCUAUUNNNNNNNNNNNNNNNNNNNNNNNNNAUAGAGUAUCUAAGUAUUUAAAUACUUAACAUUAGAAGGUUUAAGUAGUUACAGAGUUUUAGUUAUAGAGUUUAGUCAGUAGUUUAAUAACUAAGUAAAGUAUAGAUAUGUUGCCUUAAGAGAGAUGUAUUUAUAGUUAAAAUAUAUUAAGUAAUAAGAAAGAUAGAGAGAUAAAGUAUAAGAGCAGACUUAAAUGAUAAUUUAUAGUAAAAGUUAAGAAUUUAGUAGUAUUAAGUAUUUCAGCUCAAUUAGAUAAAUAGAAUAGUUUAGAGUUGUUAAAUAGAGAAAAGAAAGUUAUUAGUCAGUAGAGAUAGUGAGUAGUAUUUAUUUUACGUAUUAAAAUUAAAUUAUAAGUAUAAGAAGGGAGUUUUUUUUAGAUAUAGUUAAUUCAGAAAUAGUAAUCUACAUAUUAAAAGAUUUAGUACAUUUAGUAGUUUAUGAUAAUAUAUAGUUAAGAGAGUAAACUUAGACAAGAGAUAUAGAUAAGAUGCAGAUCUCGACGGAGUGGGCAGUAGAGGAGGAGGGAGGCGGGGAGGAGGCCAGAGCGGCGGCGGCGCUGAAGGCUGAUGUGAUGCUGUGUGAUGCUGAUAUAUGAGGGGCGACGGCCGUCGGAGAGAAGUGAGGUACGCGAAGGAGGCAGACGAGGGAGAGCAGGAAGACAAGAAGAAGGAAUCAGGGAUGAUGGAGGGAAGGAAGGAGGGCAGGAUGAGAGCGAGGCGGAGUCGUCGUCGUCGUCGUCGUCGGAGGAUGCGGCCAGAGAAGGGAGCGGAGGGAGGAAGAAGGAUCGGCGGCGAGUUCAGCGAUCGCGUCGCCGCGCUUGCAGCAGCGGAGGGAGCGGAGAAGGGGAGGCAGGCGCGGGGAAGCGGCAUCGGGAGAAGAGAGGGAAGAGAUUAAUAUUGGGAAGUACUACUGGAGGGAGGGAGGUAGAGCGCGAAAUGAGGGGGAGACGGUGUAGAUAGUUGAUUUAUGGCAAGUAACAGGAGAAUAAAAGGAUGAACUUAUUGACACGUGGGCGAAUGUGAGAGGGUGAGAAGGAGAAUUCAAGCGAUAUGAAUUGGUCCGAGUUGGGCGUCGGUGGGAACGGAGAAGGUGAGCGGAGAGCAUCCGUGAGCAUGAGUUUUAAACAUAUGCUGCACCGCACCAUUAUUCAACCCUAGUCCUCAUUCAAUCUAUCUAACGAGCAGAAUUUUCAGAUUUUGAAAAAUCGUAAAUAGUUCUCCACCUUUGGUUGUCCCGCUAACAUGGAGACACUAAUUAAAAAUAUAUAUAUUAGAAUAUACGAAAAGCCUAAAAUCAGAUAAACAUUUAAUAUUUUAUUCAUUAUUAAUUAUUAUUAUUUUGUUUUUACUUUCAUUUCAUUAUCUUGAAAGUGAUGAAAAAUAAUUUACACUUUUAGGCCCCGUUUUGGAUAUCCCUAAAAAAGUUUUAUGCUAUAUCGUAGGAAAAUAAUCCUAUGAAGCAUUUGGAUGAAAAAAAAAUGGAGUAAUUUUUUGAUUAUCUAUACUCCAAAAAAUAGAGUAAAAUUACAAUCCACUUUAAACAAAGAAAAACAAAUUCACCAUUUUGAACUCCCUUACCUCAAAGAUGUAUCAAGUUUAAUAAUUAAGUUUCAAUAUAAAAUUUUAAAUUUCAAUCUAAAAUUUAUUUUAAUUUUAAUUUGAUUUAAAUUUAAAAUUUAAAAUUUAAAAUUUCUAUUUUCUAAUUUUGAAUUUAAAAUUUUAAAUUUAAAAUUAAAUUAUAAAAUUAAAAUUAAAAUUUAAAAUUUAAAAAUUUAAAUUUUAAUUUAAUUUUUAAUUUUCAAUUUUCAAAAUUUAAAUUUAAAUUUUAAAUUUUAAAUUUUUAAAUUUCAAACUUUAAAUUUUUAAAUUAUAAAUAUGUAAAUUUAUAAUUUUUAAUUUUUAUUUAAAAUCUCAAAAUUUAAUAUAUGUUUUAAUUUAAAUUUCAAAUUUAAAUAUUUAAAUUUUAAUUUCAAAUUUUCAAAUUUUAAUUUUUAAAUUUUAAAUUUUAAAUUUUAAAUUUUAAAUUCAAAUUUUAACUUUUAAAUUCUAAAAUUUAAAUUGAAAAUGAGAACUCUUAAUUUUUAAUUUUAAUUUGAAAUUUAAAAUUUAAAAUUUUUAAUUUUUAAAAUUUAAUUUCAAAAUUCAAAUUUCAAAUUUCAAAUUCGAAUGUUAAAUUUCAAAUUUUAUAUUUGUUUUCAUAUUUAAAUUUAAAUUUAAAAUUUUAUUUUAAUUUUAAAUUUCAAUUUAAAACUAAAUUUAUUUAAUUUUUAAAUUUUAAUUUUAAUUUUAAAAUUUAAAAUUUAAUUUAUUUAAAUUUGAAUUUUAAUUUUUUAAAAUUUUAUUUUUAAAUUUUGAAUUUUAAUUUUUUAAAAUUUUAUUUUUAAAUUUGGAAUUUUAUAUUUUUAAUUUUAAAAUUUUAAAAAUUUAAUUGUUAUAAAUCCUGUGGAAUUAUACUAUAUGUAUCCAAACAGCUUGAAAAUAAAACUGUGGAAUUUUUUUGUAGUCACAGAAUUUCGUAUUUUAUUUUGACCAAAACCACAAAAUAAAAAUUCAAUGGAGUUUUUUAACUAUACAUCCAAACAUGGCUUAGUGGGCAUAUGUUUAUAGUUUCUCAAUUGAACUAUUGUUGACUAUCUCUACGAACCGACAUGUAUAACUUCAUAAUGCACUGUGACAAUCGAAACGUACUUCUGGUUUGUUGUUAAGAAGAACGCAGAAAAAAUAAAGUUGAAAAAAAGCACACAAAAUAAAGACUACCAAUAUAGAGUUGCAAGAGGUUGCUAGUGCUAGUGUAAAGAUGCAAAACAAGGCGGAUUCGAGGGCGGAAUGGCCCCACUUCUCACCUUGUUUCUUGUCGGAGAAGAAAGGUUUCGGGUGGAUUAAUUUCUAUCCUAUAUUUGGGCCUCAACUUACAGCUUUAUUCGAGGAGGAUUGGGGCGGUAGUGGAUUUUUGGCGGAUCAAAACGGAUUUGGGACAAAUUAUAUUUUUUUAUAUUUUUUCAAACUUACUAUUCCAUUCGAAGAGGAUCGAGAUGGAAGCUCCACGAACCCGGAUCCAUUUGCAUUCCUAUUGUGUUGGAUUAUGUAAAGCCAAUGUUUCGAGUCGAUAUGCAGAGUUUGAGUCUAAUUGGAUCUAAUCUUGUUCCAAAAGAUUAGAAAUAGUGCAGAAUCACUUUAAAGAGUAUUAUUCUUAAAAGAAUAUUGAUGACUACAUUGAAUCAGACUUGGAUAGAAGGCGAAAAUUAUUUCCUACCAGAAUUAGAAUUUUAGGGAUAUAUAAACUCUUGUAAUUAAUCUUUUAGAUUAUGAGCUUCACAGUAGACACCCUAAUUAAGAGAAAAAAUUAGAGAGCUCCUUAGAAAGAGUUUUUUUGUAAUCUAAUCUCCUCUUAUGUAUUUUUGUGCCGUGGAUUAAUCGAAAAAGCAUUGAGGUGGUCUUUCCCGUAGACAUAGGUCGAUUCAAGGUUGGCCGAACGACGUAAAUCUUGUAUUCUUGUGAUUUCUUAUUUUCCUUAUUGUUUUGUUAUCCGCGUGCUUAUUUUUCUACGAUCGUUCUCAUUUUUUAUGUCUACGAAAGAUCCUAUUUUCGCUGUGCUCGUGUGGUAGGGGACCACUCAACUCUAGGGGGACCACUCAACCCUAAGGGAUUAAUAUCAUUCUAACCUUAUAAUUUUUCAUCUAAGCGUUAAAAAUUUGAUGGCAAAAAAGACUUUUUGCUAUUAAUAGUAUUCCAGACCAACUAUAUAUAUAUAUAUAUAUAUAAACGUAUAGGAAUUCCGACAAUGACAGACGGAAUUCAAAAAGGAAUAAAAUAAUAUUCCCUAUAAAUGGUUAUGAUUAAUUUGUUAAAAAUAUCUCAAAUAAAAAUUAACGGUUAUGAUCAAUCUAUUAAAUAUAAAAUAAUAUUCCUUACGAAUGGUUAUGAUUAAUUUGUUAAAAAUAUAUCAAAUAAAAAAGAACUUUUAUGAUCAAUAUAUUAAAUUUGUAUUAGCAUCCAUCUAUAAAUUCAAUCAUAUUAUAAUCAAUUUGUUAAAAAAUAUCGUAAAUUAAAACAAACGGUUAUGAUCAAUUUGUUAAAAAAUAGCAUUUCUAUUAAUAUAUUUUAUAUUAAAAUUAAAAUUUGAGUUUAAAUUAUGAAUUAAAUUUAAUUUUUUGAUAUCAAAUUUGAAUUAAUAAUUAAUUUUUUUAUUACAGUGGAUCAAAAUUAAAUUUUAAAUUUUAAAUUAAAUGUGAAUUAAAUNNNNNNNNNNNNNNNNNNNNNNNNNNNNNNNNNNNNNNNNNNNNNNNNNNNNNNNNNNNNNNNNNNNNNNNNNNNNNNNNNNNNNNNNNNNNNNNNNNNNNNNNNNNNNNNNNNNNNNNNNNNNNNNNNNNNNNNNNNNNNNNNNNNNNNNNNNNNNNNNNNNNNNNNNNNNNNNNNNNNNNNNNNNNNNNNNNNUAUAGGAAUUCCGACAAUGACAGACGGAAUCCAAAAAGGAAUAAAAUAAUAUUCCUUACGAAUGAUUAUGAUUAAUUUGUUAAAAAUAUGUUAAAUAAAAACGAACGGUUAUGAUCAAUUUAUUAAAUUUCUACUACAUAUAAAAAUCUAUUCCCUAUAAAUGGUUAUGAUCAAUUUGUUAAAAAAAAUCUCAAAUAAGAACAGGUAUAAUCAAUCUAUUAAAAAAUAGCAUUCGCAUCCAUCUAUAAAUUCACUCCUAUGAAUGAUUAUAAUCAAUUUGUUAAAAAAUAUCUCAAAUUAAAACAAACGGUUAUAAUAAAUUUGUUAAAAAAUAGCAUUUCUAUUAAUCUAUUUUACAUUAAAAUUAAAAAUUGAGUUUAAAUUAUGAAUUAAAUUUAAUUUUUGAUACCAAAUUUGAAUUAAUAAUUAAUUUUUUUUAUUACAGUGGAUCAAAAUUAAAUUUUAAAUUUUAAAUUAAAUGUAAAUUAAAUUUUUAUGCUUUUAGUUUAAAACACAUAUUUAAAUUUAAUUCAUCAAAAAUCAAAAAGUAUAUAAAAAUGUUCGAUGUAUAUAAAUAAAAGAACAUGGUAGGAUAUUAUAAAUAUUUUCUAAUAAAAUAUAACACAUUAAUUUAUAAAUAUAAUUUUUAUUGUAAAAUUUUGGAUAUAUAUAAUGCACAAAUUUAUAUUGAUUUGAAAUAAAUUAUAAUAAUUAUCACGUGUAAUUGCAUGUACAUUCAACUAGUAUAUAUAUAUAGUAGCUGAACUCAUACUUAGAACUAGGCCAGUAUGCUAUUAAUAGCACCAAGUCAUUGGUGCUACCAAGUUUUUGGCCAUUGGAUUAAGAGAUGUGCGGUUAGGAUGAUGUGGGGCCCCUAGGGUUGAGUGGGUGAUUAGUUUAAUAGUAUGAUCUAACAAGUGAAAAUGAUCAAAAGGGUAGAUCUAACGGCGAAAAACUUGGUAGCGUCAAGUGCUUCGUACUAUUAAUAGAAUAGUAGCCGAACUCGUACAUAAAACUAGGCUAGUAUACUAUUCAUAGCAACAAGUCAUUGGUGCUACCAAGUUUUUGGCCAUUGGAUUAAGAGAUGUGCGGUUAGGAUGAUGUGGACCCCCUAGGGUUGAGUGGGUGGUUGGUUCAAUAGUAUGAUCUAACGGGUGAAAAUGAUCAAAAUGGUAGAUCUAACGGCGAAAAACUUGGUAGCACCAUGUCGCGCCUCGUGCCCCGCCUAUUUGGUCGGGUUCGGACACGCCAACAGACCGCUGAACGGACAGAGUUUUUCCUGUAUGUCCUAGGCGUCGCAAUCAAUACAAUGUACGAGGUUCCAACUAGGAACACAUUCCAAUCAGAGAUUGCAUAAGGAAGUAUCAAAAAUAUAAAACAACUAAGUUAUUACAACAUUCAUCUUAGGUGUAUUUUACAUCACAAUUUUUUUUUACAAUCAACUUCCAAAAUACAAUCUAGUUAACACAAUUAUUACAAGUUUGAUACAUUUGUGUUCUUUGUCCGCAAACCCCUAAGCUAGACCACCUAGGGGUACCGCUAUCUCAGUCUCGGGGGUAGGGCCGCUAUCUACGGAGCUAUGCCCUUGCCUCGCGCCGCCGCGCCGUUCACCUGCGAACCUGUAACACCCCAAAACAACGUGGGGUGAGAACCAACUCCAUGGUUCCCAGUGGGUACGGCCACCCAAAGGAAAAGCUCAACCAAUAGGUUUAAUGAGGCACUGCAACAGGUUAGUCCAAUAACAUAAAACAGAUAUUUAUACAUUUACUCGAUAUUGAGCUACAUGUCAUGCCUCGCGAUAUGCAAUAUGAAACCAUGCAACUAUACAAGUAGAAUAAAUGAUUUUACUUUCUAUCAUUUUCAUUCUUUAUUGCUAGCCAUUCUUUACUACUUGCAACUCUUUUUUUAUUCUUAGCUAUUCUUUAUUCUUUAGCUACAACUUACUCAUCGGCCAUUCUUUUCUAAGGUUACUCUUACCUUAGUCCUCUAUGCCACCCGACUCGGUCUUGAGUCAAUCAACUGCGGAUAAUCUGCGCUCUGUCGGCUCGAGGUGAAGGAACUCUCACAUGCACCUCAGCCUACCACAACCUGCCGCACUAUAUGACUGAGCCACCCGGCUGCGAAAUCGUUGCACAUACGCCACGACAAUGGCUCAAGUCAAGCGGUGGUAUAAUCCACAAGCUGGCAUAACCAUCCGGCGGCGAAAUCGUCGUACAUACUCCACGACAAUGGUUAGCCCCGGACGGCGAAAUCGUCGCACACGCCCAACACCACUUUGGGUGUUCCAAAAGCUCAGGAAUUUCGAAAUCCAUUUCACAUAACUCGAGGGUUGGUCUUAAUCCUAUAGUAUCGACCUAUCUAGGUCCAAUGUCCUUUCUACCCUACGUCCACUUGGCUCUAGGCUUAAUGCUUUUACCACAUAACCUAGGUUUACUUUAACUCUAGGUUUAUCUCACAACCUAUGUUCUUUAAUACUAGAUUCAUAUUCAUUCUUAUCCAUCCUAGGUCCAUGACACUAGGUUCAUAUCCAACCUAUAUUCAAUAACACUAGGUUCUAUACCACACUUGUUCAACCUAUAUUCUUUACACUAGGUUUACAUGCCACACUUGUUCAACCUAUAUUCUUUACACUAGGUUUACAUGCCACACUUGUUCAACCUAUGUUCUUUACACUAGGUUUACAUGCCAUACUUGUUUAACCUAUGUUCUCUAUACUAGAUUUACAUACUACUCGAUCUAUAUAUGUAUACAUAUGUCCUUUACUUAGCAUUCCACAUUAGCAUCCCUAUAACAUGCUUAUUAUACAUGGACUUAGCAUUAAUAUCAUGUAUACUUGAGCAUUCUUAUUUCAUAUCAAUAUGUUUUUACUUAGCAUUCUUAUGACAUGCAACAUGCAUUCAGCUAGCAUAACCUAUGCAUUUAUCUAACAUUUUUAUUCAACUAGCAUAACCUAUGCAUUUAUUUAGCAUAACCUAUGCAUUUACUUAGCAUUCUUAUGACAUGCAACAUGCAUUCAGCUAGCAUAACCUAUGCAUUUAUCUAGCAUAACCUAUGCAUUUACUUAGCAUUCUUAUGACAUGCAAUAUGCAUUCAGCUAGCAUAACCUAUGCAUUUAUCUAGCAUUUUUAUUCCAUAUCAUCGUGCAUUCGUUGGUAGCCCAUUUAGCAUUUAUUUGCCAUAACAAGAAGCUCCAUGUUUUCAUUUACCAACGUCUUCUCGAAUAGAGAAGCUUUUCCUGAAGCUGGGCGAAGUGGGCAAUUUAACUGUGUUGGAGAUAUAAAAUGGUCUUUUUUUUUUUUGGUUAAGAAGAUCUUUAUUGGUUAUUGUAAUUAUCUUAGGUUCCCUUCUGCCCAAUGGUUGGAUCAGAAGUGUACUCGACAGAGGUCAAGAAAACCGAGGUGCUUAUGGAGAAUUUUCGGAGGGCUAUUGGUUUGCGGAUAAAGGAGAACAAGGAAGUGUAUGAAGGCGAAGUAAGCUCUUGUUUGUUCUUAUUUUUUGCUUUCUCUAUGAACUGAUUUGAAGUAUUCAUUUGGUUAAUUAAUGGCUUAGAAUUUUGUUGAAUUGCUUGCUAAAACUUACCUUGAUGUGAUCUUCUUGUGUUUUAGGUAACUGAGCUUUCUCCAGAAGAAACUGAGAGUGUGACUGACGGCUAUUCAAAAAGCAUUAGCCGUGUGAUUAUUGGAUUAAAGACUGUUAAGGGAACUAAGCAGCUGAAGUUGGACCCUACAAUCUAUGAUGCUUUAAUCAAGGAAACGGUAAGCGCACUUUAAUCCAAAUGAAAUGGCUCUUUAUGACACUUGAAUAUAACUGUUUUUUUUUUCACUACUGCUUUUUUUCUUUUCUUUUUUUUCGUUGGCUAAUUGUAAUGUACAUGCUAUUAUACGGAUUCCAGGUGGCGGUUGGUGAUGUUAUUUACAUAGAAGCAAGCAGUGGAUGCUUUUAAAUAUUUACUAUAUUAUAAUUAUUUUUAUAAAUUUUUUAUGGAAAAUUUAUAAAAAUAAUUAUAGUAGCGUAAGAAACAUGAAAUUAUGGAAAAUGAAAAUGAAGUGUUACUUUUAUAGUAGCGUAAACGGGGCGAAAUGACUGGGCGGAUCCUUCCGGUCGCCCCGACCCAUAAAUUCAUUUUUUUAAAAAAAAUUUUGUAAUAAUUUUUUUUAAAAAUAUUUAUUAAUCAAAAUAUUAAAUUUUAAAUAAAAACAAUUUAUUAAUUAUUUUUAAAAAAAUUUAUAUAUGUAUAAAAAAUAAAAUAAAAAUUCUACUUUUUAUAUAUGUAUAAAAAAUAAAAUAAAGCCAAAGAGUAGAUAAGCGUAAUUAUUUGAAUUAUAAGGUUGCAAAAUAAAAAAUGAGCUAAACCAGGGAGAGGGUAAAUUGAAGCUUACACUUUUUUUUUCAUUUGAGUUUAGCCCCCCAACUGUCAGAUAGUUUGAAAUGGAGCCCUUGACUUCUAAGUUUUUUUAUUUGUAAACCUUUACAUUUAGUUCCAUUAAAAUUAUAUAAAAUUUAAUAAACUUAGUUAGUUAUCAAUUGUUAAUGUGUCUAAUUUUAUUUGCUAAAAAAAUAAAUUUAUUAAUUUGGUGAAAUUAUCAAUAAAUUUGCGAAAAUCUUUAAUUUUCUUUUUGACCAAUGUCAUUUCGUUUUGAGAAAUUAAAAGUUGAGGGAGCUAUAAUAGAAAAAAAAAAAAUGAGAAAGAAAAGUUGAGGGCUCUAUUUCAAAAACGCAUGUAGUAAAGGGGGCCUUUCUACAUUUGCUUUUACCUAAAGAAUAAUUAAAUCUAAAAAAGAAUUCACUAAUUAAUUUCCCAUAGCACAAACUACGAUUAAUUAAUACCCUAAUAAAUCGGAAAAAAAAAACUAAAAAAUCGAGAUUAAACAAAAAAAAAAUACUUUAAAAAUGAUGAAGAAUUAUUCAGAAAAAAAAAGGAGAAAAAAAGGGAACGAAAUUAAGAAAUUAAGGAAUAAACCGAAGAAUAUAUUCUCAUAAUUUAGCACAAUAGAUCGCCAAAUUCGAUCAAAAAUUCGCGAUUAAGCAAGAGAUUAGUUAAAUUUUGAUAAAAAAAGAAAAAAAUAGUUAAAUUUAAAGAAAACGGCGUCAAUUAUUAAGGAAUAAUCCGAAGAAAAUUCCCCUUAAUUUAACCCAAUAAUCGCAAAUUUUUGAUCGGAUUCGCAUUUUAAACAAGAAAUUCGGAACAAAUCAAAUCAAAUCAAAUCAAAUCAAAUCAAAUGUAAUAGUUAAUAGCGACCAACUGCUUUAUUUCAUUCGCUAAAUAGUUUUAGUGACAGGGCGGCAACAACAAAGCUAUUUUUGUCGCUAAAUAGCAAUAGAGACAAAAUUUUAUUCUGUAGCGACAAAUAGUGUUGGUCUCAAAAGACCUAAAUUUCUAUAGUGAAUGUUAUUUUUAAUCCGUGAAAACCAACACACUAGCUAAAAGAGCUAAACAUAUUUUAGAGGUAAAAUGCAUGGAUAAUCCAUUUCCUUAAAUGUUAUCAAUGAAGGACAUAAAUACCCAUAAUUUUGUUUAAAAAAAAAUAGAUUCUUUUUUUUUUAUUAGUCAGUUAAAGUUUCCAAAACUAUACUAAAAAGAAAGGAAAAUUUUACCUCUAUUUUUUAUUGUUAAAUUGGAUUUAAACAAAAGCAAAAAANAUUUUGUUUAAAAAAAAAUAGAUUCUUUUUUUUUUAUAUAAUCUGAAAAAAAAUAAAAAACUAUUUUUUCUUAAAAUCAAAUAAAAAAAAAAAAAAGGUGUUUUUAGAAAUAAUAGAAAUUUAAAAUUUGUAAUGUAGGAGAAAGAAAACACGGGUUAUUUCCUUGCCAUUCUCUUCGCUUCUCUUCCUCACGCUCUAUUAGGUAAUAUAUCAAAGGGUAAAAUUCAAAAGAAAACAUGAAAAAUAUAAUUUUUUUUAUCCCGACUUUUCUCUCUUUUUUUUCACUCCACAAUGAUCAAAUUAUAGUUUGCGGAAAAAUACAAAGUACUAUAAAUAAAUUUUUGCCAAUAUGUACCUCGAUUUCUGUAAACAUCAUUAAUGGAUUUGUUCUUCCCCUUACACCAUUGAACAAUACCUUGGUAUGAAUUGUAGACAUGCUCCUCCUCAUUCUCGAAGCGAUCCUAUAUAAAUUAGGGCGAAAACAAAAAACCUUAAUAACACUAAAAAUAUUAGAUUCUUAAUAAUAAGAAAAAGACUAAAUGUAGGGACACAAAAUAUUCUAUGACUAUUUUUUUAGCUUAUGCUAUAACUCUUAAUAACGCUAAAAAUAGAGACCAACUACUGUUCACAUUACUUUGCAAAUAAAAACUAUCAAAUUUAACGAAUCAUCUAACGUAACUUUUCGAAAUCCAAAAGAUUAAGUUUGAGGACAAUUUCAAAAUCACUUUUAAGGUUGUUUCAAAACAAACAAAAGUCCAAAAAAUGUCAAAAAAAAUGGCCUACAAUCGAGGGACUCUUACUCUCUAUAUAUUUUCACCAAGAAUCUCACACAAUUAAAUAUUCGAGUUCUUUUUAAUCAUUAUAUAUCUUUAUCUUCGCACCAAACUCAGUGAGCUUAUCGAACACGUUGUUCUUCUCUGCUGGAACUUCAAUCUCAUGCUCUUUCGAUACAAAUGAGUUGAAACCGGGAAUCAGUUGAGGAUAACCUACGUAAAGUUUCUUAAUUUUGUUGCAAACUCCGUUGUUGCCGAUCCUGAAAAUACUACCAACUUAUAGUUACCUUCAAAGUAAUACUAAGAGUAAAAUGUAUUUAGAAUUCUAACUUUUUUCAUAUAUUAUUAUGAUACACUCUCCUACGAUUACAAAAUAUAUUUUUCUUUAUUGAAAAUUGAUUUUCUUUAAAGGUCAUGGAGCAAAUUACUACAUCAAAAACCAUGUGUAUGAAAAUUUAUUGAACCAUGAACUAUAUGGUUACUGUUUGAUAUUUGACUUCUGUACCCUUUGAUGCGUAUGCGAAAUAGGCUCCGAAAACUAUCUCGUAUCUCUCUCUAAACUUAACCCCCCUCCUCCCGCGCCGCCACCUGCCCCACGAACCCCGCCGCCAUGGGUAUCGCGUUCCCAUUCACCUGCCCCACCACACGCACACGCACACGCACACAAACGAUCUCAGAANUUCCUGUGCUGGGCGGCCCCGCAAGGAGCAGCGCCCGCCCGGCCAUCUUCUUCUGCCGAAUCAUGUCGACGACGAGCCCCGCCGCCUCCCGCGCCGCCUUCCCAUUCACCUGCCCCACCACACGCACACGCAGACGCACACAAACGAUCUCAGAAACAGGAACAACAACAACAACAACAACAACAACAGGAAAACAACUACACCGAAGCUCCAAAACCCUAAACCCCCCCCCCCUAAAACCCUAGAUGGUUCGAAAGUGAGGUUGGGGGAGGGGGGAGGAGAUGGGGUAGGGAGUAUACGUCGAGGCCGAGGCCUUUGAUGUGGGUGUGGGUGGCGAUGCGCUGCUUCUUGGAGGUGGAUUGGACCUCCUCGAUCCUCAUGGCGUCGCCGCCGCGGUGGGAGGAGGAGGAGGAGGAGCGAGGAGGAGGGAGAAGGGCGCGGCGCGGGUUCGGGUUGAGGCUUCGAAGGGGAACCAAGCCCGCUUUUGGUGGACGCGUUUAGAAUUUUCUAGCGCUGCUGUUGAAUGAAGCACGUGGCGAUUUCCCAUUGGGUCGAAUGCGUAGUAAGCUGUUUCGUGGCAAAUAGGUGAUUUGGGUUGAAUGAUGUCUCUCGGGGACCGUUCGAUCGGAAAUGGAAGGUCGGAUUUGGCAUCAAGUAGUUUCUCCAGAAUAUGUUAAUUUUAUGAUGAAAUAAUGUUUAAAUAAAAAUUUGUAUUGUAUAUUAUAUAUUUAACUAUUCCACACUUUGAUAUUUCUAGAAAAAUUAUGAACACUCAAUGAAAAAAAUUAAAAGGUAGAGAGAAUUAGUGGAUAUUAAACUUGAAGUAAAUUGAGGAAUUUGCAAUUUAGGCACCAGAUCGAAUGUGAAUUUAAGCUUAAUUUCGAGUAUAAUUCUAAUAUAUAUGGUUGUUUUAUAUAUACUCUGACUUUCCAAAGUAUACAAUACUCCUAAUUUUAUAAAUAGAGCACGGGGCGACAAUUAGGGUUCACUGAUAUUUGUAUUUGAUAAUUAUGUCAAUUUGAAUUUGUCUAGGCAUUUAUUAUAAGAGUAUUAAAUGUUCAUGACGUUGUCUCAUUCUCUCUCAGUGUGAAAUUUUAUCAUUUCCGGUUAAACACAUUUCCUUUGCGUUCACUUCAAUUUUUUUACAGUAAUUUCAUGCAUGUAAGAGAUCGUGUUAUUAUGUUGUGUCCAAAGUUGCUAUCUCUUUAUUUCUAUAAAUAUUUCAGGAGUAUUAAAAUUCUUCCACCAAAACUAUGCUUUGUCAAUAUAUAAUGAUAUGUAUUGUUAUUUGUUUCAUUCAUAGAAUAUACAUAUCAUUAUAAUGAUAUGUAUAUUCUUUGCUUAUUCUGCCAGAUAAAUGAUGGUUGGUAUAAUAAAACUAAUAAUAAUAGUUAGAAUUUUAAGAGGCGAGGCAAAAAUUUUAGCUGAAAUGAAAGUGACACUAACAACUUACGCUGUACAAUCGUGAUUUUUAUGGAAGCUCUCGUAGCACAGCUACAAUUUUAUUUUAUUUUAUUUUAUUUUAUUUUAUUUUUUUUUCGAGAAAGAGCACAGCUACAAAUUAACUCUCUCAUGUAACACAAAACCCCUCUAUCCCACAAACUAAACUAGCCCCACUGUGGCCACAAAACGUGCUGUGUUUGGCUAAAAAGGGCCAAAAAAACAAAAAAAUAGAGAGGGAAAAAUGGACCUAAAACACUAAUACUAUUCUUCAAGUUGGAGUAGGAUAUGAUGUAAUUAUUGUGAAAUAACAGUUAUACUCUAAAAAUUUAAGCUGUUAGACGUAUGAAAGAAAAUUAAUAUACUAGAAGUCUGGCGUGAUUCGAACUCAGGACCUCCUGCUCUGAAACCAUGUGAAAUAAUCGUUGUACUCUAAAAAUUUAAACUGUUAUAAAACAGUAUUUAUAUAUUUUUAUAUUUAACAAUUAUAAGGCAAUGUUUUGACUAAAAAGGGCUAAAAAAAAUAAAAAAGGAAAAAAUGGACCUAAGACACUAAUACUACUCUAAAAGUUGGAGUAGGAUGUGAUGUAAUUAUAAGGCAAUGUUUUGUUUUAUUCUGAUGUAAUUUUGUGAUGCAAUCUUUCUUGGAUUGUGCUAUAUAUGUUAGGCUUAUAAAGUUGCGUUAAAUGUCGUGAAAUUGGGAUGUAUGAACCCACUUUACGCUGCAAAAAGAUGAUGAAUCCGUAGCAACGGAUAGUCGGCGUCGACUUUAGGAAACAGCGGCGACUUCUGACACGUGACAUUCAAUGACAAGAAGGAUGUUUCACUGAAAAGGAAGGGAGAAAGAAUAAUAAUAAUAAAAUAAUAUUAAUAACCUUUUUUUCAGAUAUGCUCGUUAAGAUCUAUUAAUAAAUUAAAGGAUCAAAAAACUAAUCCAUGAGAUGCUUUACGAUUUCAUUUAUUCAUUCUCUUAUGUCUAGUAUUAACUAGUGAAGUAUAUCUUAUGAGCAAGUCCAAAGGCGUGAUUGGUUGUAUUGGAUGGAAGCACGGCAAGGUGGUGAUUUUUCUGCGCAAGUUUGCUCGAGUUAAUUGUGACUUAUGCUGGCUCUCGUAGAAAGUCAAAAUUCUAAAAAGUAGGAAUGCAACGAAACUGUUUUUUAAAUUUGUACACGUACUCUAGAUAACAAAAAAACUCAAAUACAGCCCGACUUCCAAUUUGAGUAUAACGUUUUUUCCCAAGCAAGCAUAUACGUUGUUAACUAUACCCAUGAUUAACUCUCGUAAGGUUUGUAAAAUAAGUGAACCAUGUGGUUCAAAGAUCAAGCAAGCAUAACGUUUCUUCCCAAGCAAGCAUAUACGUUGUCAACUACACCCAUGAUUAACUCAAAUACAGCCCGACUUUUAAUUUGAGUAUAACGUUUUUUCCCAAGCAAGCAUAUACGUUGUCCACUAAACCCAUGAUCAACUCUCGUAAUGUUAAUAAAAUAAGCGAACCAUGUGGUUCAAAGAUCAAGCAUCGGCUAAGACCUCACCGCAUUUUGACAGAAAAUGUUUCUAUGAUGGAUUAGUUCUACAGAAUUUAUUGAAAACUACUUUCAGUUUACUCCUUAUAUCAACAUCAACAUUCAAAUUAAUCGAUAUUAACGGAUACUCAGAAAAAUCUAAGAUUAGACAAUUACUGUGAAAGGUCUAUUGUUGGAAGUUGGGUAAACAAAGGGACAGUACUUGGUGCAUCACAGAAACUUUGUUGGCUUUUUUUUUUUUUUUUUUAAUUGGGAAAGAAACAAAAGUUAGGUCUUGGGGACUCUUGUAGGUUCCCAAUUAUUAGAGGGUAAAAAUUCCUAGCUUUCAGCAUGGUUUAUUGACCUUGGAACCCUGAAAAUAUAUUAUUAAUGCUACAUGUAACUCGUCCCACUUUUAGCGGUUAAAUUAUAACAAAUCAAAAUUUAAGCAACCAAGUACGUUAUAACUUUGUAGAAUAGUUUUUCAAACUACAUGUGUAAUUCACCAUAUAAAUACAAAAUCAGAUAUAAAAGCUAAUCACUAAAUAAUUUCCUACCAUAUUGUAAAAACUAACUUAUCUAUUGCACUUUAAUAGUAAAAAUAUUUAUACUUUGAUCAUUUUUCACUAAAAAUAAUUUUGAGAAAAAAAUAUGAUACAUCUUUUACUAUGUGAUAGUACUUUAUUGAUCCUCCUUAUAUACCAGGACUAAGGAUAAAUUUGCAACAUUAGUACAUCAAAAUUUUGAAAUAUUGCAUUGCCAGGCUAUAAAUAAUUAGCAUAGUAAUUAUAUAUAAUCACCAUAGAAAAUGGUAACUUAAAUAUUUCAAAAUAAUCACUUAACGUUCCGUUCUUUUGAGCAACAUAGGGAGAUUAUGAAACUUAAGAAGAAACGAAAAUUUAGAGAUCAAAAUGAAACUCGAAUUAUAUUUUAGAAAUUAAUAAUAAUAUAAUUUUAUCAAAAAUAAAUAUCUCUUCAUUUUAAUCGCAUGGGCGCUUCAACUUGCGUCGCUCUUUCUAAAUAGUGCCAGCUCGGCUAAAAAAAAAAAAAACAUGUGGUGGACGAGGACACCCCGAUGGGGGACCACGUUUUGUGACCACACCAAUCAGUUUUAACCACGUGUACGUGGGCGCAACCCAAUAGGCCAACGCCAAUCGCCGUAACUUGUCAACGCCCUGGACCGGGGUCAGAGGAUCACGUGGCUCUCGCGUUAUCCCCCCCUGCUGUGAAAGGAAGUUACUGCGUGGACCGGGUUCAUACACCACUCUGCCAAAUCCCCCUAUCGGGUUUUUUUUUUUUAAAAAAAAAAAUUCAAAACAAAAUUUUUGUAUAUCAAAGGAUGAAAAAAUUAACAAUAAAUAAAUAAAAAAUUUGAAAAUAAUUUAUUUUUUAAAAAAGUUGCAACAAGGUAACCCGUUUUGCUUCAACCACUUGACUAGAUCCAUUAUAAGCUAUAACAUUCUACAACAAUAUGAGAGUGUUUUUUUCAAUUCAUUAAAAUAUAUAGAACCAGUUUGAAAAAAUAAAAAUUACAAUGAUAUCAAACAAGAUCUAAUUUAUUGGUUAUGUUGUAAAGUAUUGGAAAGAUAUACAUCCAAAAAGCCAUAAAUUUUUAGUAGAUUUUUUUUUUCUUAUUUUUAGUGAAUCUAUGGAUUCUCUUUUGUGCACUGAUAAUUUUUUAAACUAUUUAUUGCGUAAACAAUGAAUUUUUCAUAGCUAUACUUUAUUUAUUGGUAUUUGAGAGUUAGAAACUGCAGAUUAUACCUACUAAAUUAACUUUCAAAAUAAGAAAUAUAUAAUAUUGUGAUUGUCAUCAAAAGUGUAUUUCUUUUUUUAAAAAAUAUAAGAAAUUUGAUAUAAGAAGUUUAUUAGCAUAAACAAAGAAAAAUGAAAAAAAGAGACAGAAAGAAACAAAACAUUCAUUUGUAAAUAAAUAGCACCCGAAAAAAAAAAAAAAAAAAACUUCAAAUACCUUUCAUGUGGUUUCGUACUUUCACUUUAGUAUUCUGUAAUUUAAAAUGUAUCGACUUAGUACUCUAUAAUUUUUUUUUCCUUAUUAUCUCUUUUACUAAUUUUUUUGUUUAAUUAGUGACAAAGUUAAAACUAAAAUGUAUUAAAUUGAAUAUUUGAUAAACCUAGCUAGAGUAUAUGAAGUUUUUUGUAUAUAAUAUAGCAAAAUGUUAACGGUGAACUGCCGAAAAGAGAGAAAUAAAAUCACAAAGUAUUAAAUUGAUACACCUUAAAUCACACGGUACUAAAGUGAAAAAGUACGAAACCAUAGGGUUGGUAUUUGAAAUUUGCCCCAAAAAUAAAUAUUAUGGAUUGCGGUGUACGGACAAAUGCGUACGCACGGUGUAACCAAUAAUUGCACCCUGCGGGGGCGUCCACUCGAUAAUUUAACUCUGCGGGUUUUUUGGCGGGUAAUUGUCCCCUCCCCGGGUUUCGCGCUCCGGCACGUGUAAGAAACAAUGAACGGACAAAAACGGCCCGAACCCCUCCCCCCCAAUCGCCCUCCGACGCGUACACGCAGCACCUCAAGAUUCGUGCUUAUUCCAGUGCUAUUCCCACAUAGCGUUCCUAUUCCGCCUCCCGAAUCUUAAAGCGCGUACCGCGUAUAAAUAUACGUAUGCGGUGGGGUCGACACUGGAAUAGCAGCAGUUUAUUGAUUUAUUCCGGAACUCGUUAUUCCGCCCUAUUUAUUCCAGCGAACGCCGCCAUUAAAUGCUCCUCCUCGUUUAUUCAGGAACCGUUGCGUGCUCUCGAUUCUUAUCCCCUCGAAUAGAGGAAUCAAAUCCAAAACCCUCCCCUUUUCCCCGGAUUUUGUUGCCAUUUCUUUUCAUUUUGCUGCAAUUGUUCUCCGCAUCUUCGUCAUCGUCGUCGGCUUCUGCUUCCUCUCGAUUUCGCACGUCGAGAGGAAGUAGAUCGCGGUUUGGGGCUUAAUUAGGGUUUGGGAGGAGUGGAUGGGGGAUUGGUUCCCGCGGGAGGAGAGUCGUAGGAGUGGGAGGUCGCGGUGGAGGGGGAAGUGGUGUAGGACCAGUGGAGGAGUCGUGUGGAGGACGAUCGCGGCGCCGGAUCGCGAGAGUAGGAGAUACGAGUUCGAUUCUAUGGUUGGUGUUCGCGGAGAAGGUUCGUGGGCUCAAAUCAUCUCUUUUUUGGCUUAGACCGUAGAUUUUAAGCUCCAUUUUGUGUUCUGUUUGGGGGAAAAGAAAAACGUUUGACUUUUUAGGGAUUUUUUGGAGAACCAGUUUAGGAUUUCAUGGAGAAAUGUUUCGAUUUUUGGUGCUUUUUUUUUUUAUUCUUCUUUUAUGCUUUUUGGGGCUAUGUUGGUCUUCUUGUUUUGAAGUUUUCUUUUAUCCUUUUUUUUUGUUUUUUUGUUUUUAACGCGUAUCUUUUGUACAAAUUUUCUUUCUUUUUUGUUUGGAUGAUGCAUUAUUAUGGCCAUUAAUCAAGGUGCUUUGAAUUAGCUUACUAUUUCUGCUCCACUAUUAAUGAUUCAUUACUAAUCCUGUCAUUAAUUGCCCUUUAAGUUUCCUUUCUCGUUUAAAACAACAGCUUAUGAUGCAGUAACCGAACGAUAUCAAUGCUCAUUAAACUCAUUUUGCUAUAAUUACACCUAAUUGUGUGAUUCUUUCCUUUUUUUUGGCGUACUUGCAUACUAAAAUUGGGUUUAUCCUAAUAAUUUUUGAUUCUUAAGUAAUAAAAAUAAAAAAUUUGACUGGUCAGUGGAUGCUGCAUGCAAUUUAGUUGCCAUAAUCCUACUGAAAUAUUCUUUUAAGUUGACAUUCUUUUUCUUUUUCAGGAUAUUAUGCUCAUUUAGAUUUGCAGAGCCACCCUUUGGGUAUGUUAUCAGCUUCUGCACACGGCAGUGGCUCUGAUGUAGAAGAAAAUUCUGUAAGUGCUCUAUAUUAGAUUUGCCAAGGCUCUUACGGCAUACAAUGCAUGUGUAACCUUCUUUAUGAUUUACAGAGUUUAGUUCUUCGACGUAGUGUAAAAGUGUCUCUGUUAAGUCAUUUACCAUAUUUGCAUGCCCGGUUGAUUUAGUCACCGUCUUGUCGAAUGUAAUGAUUCCUGAUUUCAAUGUUUCAAGUCUAUUUGGGUGUAACAGCAGUAUCUCCUUCUGUUCUACUUCACAAUAUAUUAUUACGAACAAAAAGUUACUCUCUUUUUUUUAUAUAUAUUUUUCAUUAUUUCUGUAGCUUGCCUUUGACAUCAAGGAGAGCCGUCACAAAGGGGACGGGGCAAAUCAAGAAAUAGAAGAAUACAUGGGAGAAGAGAUAUUAAAAGAAAUGGAAAUUAGGCAUUCACCUCCUGGUGUAAUUGCGAAAUUGAUGGGUCUUGAUCUGCCACCUCCUCCCCAAGUAGUUCGCAGCCAGAAUAGGGAUGUAGGGGGUUAUCUGCCAAAAUCAUCGUCAUUCCAUGCAAGCUUUAGAAACAAAUAUGCCUCCAUCAAAGAAGAUUCAUGUCAUAUGAAAAUGGAUGAGCGCUCAGAAUUCAAAGAUGUCUUUGAAGUCAUGAAAUCGUCAGAAGUUGCAAAAGACAGGAAUCAACUAUUUUUUAGAAAGAAUUCAGUAGGUUCUAAAGAACGGUGUAACCACAUCAAUGGCGAAGAUUUCGACAAGCAUUUCCCGAAAAUUCUUAAAGAACCCAAUCCCUUGUUUAGGAAGCAUCUACGUGAUCUAAAGUGCUCUUCAGCAAUCUUCAAAUCAGCAAAUGAUGCAGAGCGUGAAAGAGCUCUCAUGGAAUUGACACCUGGCAAAAUUGAUCGUUCGUUUAAACAAACAGGCACUUCUCUUUCACAUACUUUCUCGAGGUCACGAUACUCGGGAAGGACAGCUGCUUCUACUAGCCACAAUCAGAUUGUUCUUUUGAAGCCAAGUCUUGAAAAAGCAGGUAUCCCAUUAAACAGUGUUUCCUUAUCAAGAAAAUUGGAUGAUUUUCACUUCCUUUACAGGAGAGAGAGUGAAAAAAGAAAGCCCGGGUUGUUUCAUAAUAUAGAAACCAGAGGGGCUAUGAUUAAAGGUUCGAGAGAAAUUGCUAGAGAUGUCACAAAGCAAAUGAAACACUCCACAGACAGUGGCACUAAAGAGUUUUACAAUUUGAGAACCAAUGGGAACGCAAAGAACAAAUUAUCUUCUUCUUUAUAUUCCACUGAUGUCCUACAAAGUUCAUCAUCUAGGUAUUCGGAUUACUCAACUAAACCAUCUGCACACAAGGAGGGCAAGGAGCGCCUUUUUGAGCAGUGCAAGAGGCCUCAACAGUUUGAGGCAGGAAAUAUUGGUAAAGGGGCGAGAACUUUGGCUGAAAUGUUUGCCCUAUCCGAUUCAGAAAAAUCAACGAGAACUUCGGGUUCACAUUAUAUAUUUACACCAGAGAAAUUGGAUGGCUAUAUCAUACAUUUACCAAAAUCUAUAUCUCCUACUGUUCUAUCAACAGUUCGUGGUCAAAGUCUACGAUCAAUGCAUGGUUUUGGUGGUAGUGGUAUUAUUGAUAUGCCUAAAUAUGAGGACUCAAAACACAAAUCUUUUCUGGAUGGAAAAUUGUAUCAGCGAGCAAAAGGUUUAAGCAAAAGCUCUAGUCAUGAGAGGAAUAAGUUUCACUCCUAUACUGGUGGGGAUAGGAAGAAUAGCCAUGCAAGGGAUGUUCAUCUAGAUCAGGAGAUCUUGAUGAAUAGAGUCCAUGGACCCAUUAGUGCCAAGUCAAAGCGUAAUCUCCCAGAAUUUUCCACUGAUGAUUCCUUGAUUGCAGAAAGCAAGGAUGCCAAAAAGUUAUUUGCAACUGACAAGGGGCUGGUCAGCAAAAAUGCUGCUUUGGCAGAGAACUCUACAUUCUCUGGAAAUGGCCGGAAGGUUUGUUUCUACAGUCAAUUUGAUCUAUCUAUGCAAUAUUUUGAUGUUAUUGGUUCCUAUUUGUGGCGGUAGAAAACACACCUACUCUCGUGUGCUCUUGUCCCGUUGCCUUUAGAAUAAGUUGUCUUCUCUGUGAAAUUUCCUGUUGGUUUGGUAUUUACCAUUAUCAGGAAGAGUUAUACAUCAUCAAACAAUUAGUUUUUGAAUUUACUGCUAAGGCUUAGCAUCAAUGUGCGUCUUAUGCUUUUUUGUGCUUGUCAACGACAUUUAUGCAAUAGAAGCUUCAUUUGUCAAUUCUGCAUAACUUUCUGCCUGUGAUCUAUAUUGUUAUUCAAUUGCGAUGAAUGUUUUCCUUCUUAAAAGAGAGAGUGCUUAAAUUUGAUAAUAUGAUUCUUAUUUUUCAUUUCCUUAUAGUAUUUUAUCAUUCAAUGAAUAUUACAUCAAACUGUGAACUUAUCCUUUUGUUUUACUGCAUCAAAAUAUAUAGGAAAGGUCAGAUUAAUGCAUGCCCAGGGCUUUCCAAAGACAACCUUAAGUUGAAGUACAGUCUACUAACCAGGGCUUGCUGCCAUUACUCAAAUGAACGAACAUGGUCUACGUGCAACAAAGCUCAAAAGUCCAGCUAUAAUUAUCUUUUUUCCCUUAGUAAAUAGAUACUUAUUGCUAGUUUGGUGCCCAACAUGCUCACUCUGUUUAUAACAACAUCUUUGCAUCUCUCUCUUUUUCUUUUUCCAAUUAUAAGACAUUAAUGAUAUGAUUGUUUUGAAGAGCUAUUACCAUUUUCACUUUGACCUUUUUAUUGUUUUUGUAUUAGGAGUGCUAAUGUAGACUCAUCGGAUGCUAUUAGUUCUUAUGUGAGACUUGAAAUUAGUAAAUAACACAAAUUUUUGUUAAUCUUUCAUGCUUUGAGUUACACAUUCUUUCAAUACAUUUAUCUUCUAAACUAGUAAACUGCCUUAUUCCAGAUAAUACCGUCUAGCCAACAUGAGGAGGUCCGCUUUCCAACUCACUCUGAUGAAACAGAUUCAGUAUCCACCAUGGACUCUAAAAAGCCCGAGCAACCUAGCCCCGUUUCAGUUCUAGAAUCUCCUUUGGAAGUAAAGAAGUCCAAUUCUAAAUCAUUCGCGAGAAUGUGCUUGGAUCUACAGGGUAAGUGAAAAAGGAAAUGAAAAAAGGGGAGACACAGUAUUUGGACCUUGUCACUUAACACCUUUUGGCCCCAAACUUUCUUUUAUAUGGCACUUUAAUCACCGACCUUCAAAACAAAUCAAGCGAAAGUUUAAGGCCGAAGUUGUAAUAUUGGGGUAGUACAGGGACUAUUUCAUACAUGAUGCCCUAUCUUAUAAUCCUGUCUCUUUGGCCUAAUAAAAUAUUUUAUUUCUUUCUUAUCACAGAGCUCCAAUUACAGCUUGAUCUUCUCAAGUUCAAUUCCGAAUCAUCUGCUGAAGAUCCCGAAAUCUUUGUAUCAAGUGAUGAGGAUUCUAACGAAGAAAGCGACUCUCUUCAUCUAAUUGAAAAUAUACUCGAAGCAUUCAGGGAUGAAGAAGACCGUGAUUAUUCAUACCUCCUCGACAUUCUUAUCAGUUCGGGUGUCCAUGGUGCGAACCUAGAUCGGAUUCACAAAGCGUGCCACUCGCCCAGUCGUCCUGCUGGUGCAACCGUGUUUGAAAGUCUCGAAAAGAAGUACAAAAAAAUUGUGAAAUGGUCAAGAUCUGAGAGGAUGCUGCUUUUUGAUCAUGUAAACACUAUUCUAUCAGAAGUUUUGGCCCCUUGCAUGGAUUUGCAUCCAUGGGUUAAGUUGGAUUCGCUGGUCUCCCCCAUGUGGGGGCCCGAGGGGUUGGUUGAGAAGGUAUGGCAGAUUCUGGUCAGAAGAAGGAAAGAACUUGGCGAGGGUGAUCCAGAGAGUAAGGUGCUAGAUACAAAAUGGUUAGAUUUGGGAGAUGGGGUUGACAUGAUAGGAAGUGAGAUCGAGAGGAUGUUAAAGGACGAGCUUUUGGAAGAGCUUGUUUCGGAGUUCUCAUUAGGGUAAGGGCCUUUUCAUCGAGUAACUCCUUUGGGGAGAGAACGUAUAUGUUCGUGUGCAUGGGAUCGAUCAUUACACUUCCAUGUGCAUGGGAUUGAUUAUUUGGUCAAGGAAGUGGAAUUUGUCAGUCUCGGGAGCACAAAGUCGCCGAAUUGGCGAUGCUUCAGCCUCUUUAUCUAGACAACAACAGAGCUAAAUAUGAUGAUGGGAAACGAAGUUGCGUUUGACUAAAGCAGCUCAAAAUAUGGUGUUUUGGCUGAUAGAUGUUUGUCGAUCUUUCCUUAGAGUCACGGUGUUUUUGAUUCGAUUGAAUGUAUUCGUGAUUGUCUAUUACUGUUCUUAGCUGCUAUUGGUGUCAACUAUAUUUCUGCUCGGCUAUCAGAGGUAUAUUCCUUAGAGAUGCAGGUUGUAUCUGUUAGUGCAGACCCAUUCUUAGUUUUGUAAAAGAGGUGAAAUCAUAAUCAGUAUCCAAGUGUGGUGUACUAUAUACAGGUUGCCCAAGUUUGUGAAAGUCCAGUGUAAUACUAGUAUCCCCCAUUAUGGGUGAAAUAGGCAUGUUUUGAGAUUGCAACUUUCCUGUGGAAAGGAUGAGUGAGUAGGAGGAAAUAUUCUGUCACUGUUGUUAAUUUUGAAUAAUUCUUUUCUUUUAGUGCUAGAAACUUACGAAGUACUAGACAAAUUAUAAUUCACCAUGCCGCAUGUAUGCGUCCUGUAAAACUCUGAAAGAAAUGGAGAUUUAAGCAAUUAAAAACCAAUCAAACACCCCUAAGUUUAUCAUCAAAAAAAAGUAUUAAUCCCUGCAAAACUGUUUCCAACAAUUUUUUUUUUUUUUGCAUACAAUUGCACCAUGUAAUUCAGAAGAUUGGGGCUAAAAUGGCUUUCAAUCAAUUCACUUCUAAAACAUCCUUUUGGUACAAACACAAAUAAUCAACUUGGUGCUUAUUAAAGUUGCUACACAUCAUGCUUAAGAUGAAACUAGCCAACAUAGUCCAAACUAGAUCACCUAUAUAAACAUCAGAAGGCUAAAUAUAAAGUAUUACAAUUUGAUGACUCUAAAAUUAUCAAGACAUGAACAAAUUUAAUCAAUGGUACUUCAGUUGUCUCGUAUUCGAUAAAUAAUGUUUGUUUCUUUGGUUUAUGACUGCUCGCUCAAUACUCUUUGGCGGAAGUCGGUCACCAUCAACGGAAGCCCUUCUCUAAGAGAGAUCUUUGGUUCCCAAUUCAACAGCUGCUUGGCCUUGGUUAUGUCCGGUUUCCUCAUAUGAGGAUCAUCGGCAGUGUUGGGUCUAAACUCAAUGGUCGCACUUGGGUCAAUCGUCUCCUUUACAACCUGAAUAUAAGGAUACAAAUUGAUGUUGAUUGAGAAAUAGGGUAAUAAUGUACAGGUGUGUGAAAAUAGUCACUGGUUUUUUUUUCUGUUCUUCUUUUUUUUGGGCACGAACCUUGGCAAGUUCCAACAUGGUGAACUCUCCUGGAUUCCCCAAGUUAAAGGGUCCAAUGUGAUCACCUUCCAUUAGGGCCACCAGGCCAUCAACCUAACAAAUUAGCAUGGGAUAAAAAAAUUACUUUAAUUUUUCAACACAGAUUCGUAUUGUUAUCACUAGAAUAUGUAAUUUGAAGAAGAGGUUAAGCCGAUGAAAUACAGAAAUUUUGCAAGAAUAGAAACAUGAAGCAUCACUAAAAGCCAAUGGAAACAAAUGCUACAAGCACUUCUAUGGGCUCUGCAAAGCUCAUGUUCCAUUUUGAGUACUAACAGGAACUAAAAUGCCAUCGAAGGAAGGGGGAAAAAAAAGAACAGUUCCUUUCUACAUCAAAGAUGACAAAUUCGUCUGCAAGAAAUGAGCCUAUCAAAGAGAUAAACAGGAUAAGAACAAAUUGUUACCAAAUCAGAUACAUAUUGGAAACUUCGAGUCUGCUUUCCGUCACCAUAAACUGUCAUUGGUUGUCUACGAAGGGCCUGUAGAAUAUAUUUAACAUUAGAAUUAUCAUCAUUCUCAGCUUUUACCACAUUGAACUGCACAGUAUGAUGGAAGUUACACAAUCUUUAAAAAUAUCGCCAACCUGUGCAACAAAAUUGCUUACAACUCGUCCAUCAUCUAUGCACAUGCGAGGGCCAUAUGUAUUGAAUAUCCGUGCAAUUCGCACCUGAAAAAAAUGUAAUGAUUAGAAAAAUGUGAUGAUUAGAAAAAGGUGAUAACUAAUACUCAAGCAAAGAAGCCCUUUCUUUGUAUGUUAAGCUUGUACAUAAAGAGUUAGGAAGCUAUAUCAGUUAUAAUCAACUGCUGCAGUACCUUGAGGACAAAAGUUACAUCAUUAUGUGCAAGUUUUAUUUGUAAGUCAUUUCUAUGAACCAACGGCAAAUUUGAACAGAACCAUCUACAUUUUGAGAAAUCAGAGUAGUAGUGCCUGCAGAGGUUCCUAUUUAUUUUCUCAUUUAUUCUAGUUACAUUGGACACCCGUCGAUUUGAAUUUACUGCUUAAACCAGUGCACCCCAUCUCGAUUCUUACCUGAUUUGAGAUGCCAUUAACUAUUUUCAGACCCAAAGAAAUUCUGAAGAUUUUAAAUAGAAUUCACUGGAAAAUUGUAACAUUAUCUCCAGCGAAUAUGACUCCAUUCUCCAAUAAAAAGUAUACUAUUGUGUAGAUUAGCAAUAUUAUAGAUCUCCUUAGGGUUUGUUUGAAGCAAAGCCCAAAGGAUCUGGAUGAUUUCUGGUUUAUGGGAACUCCAUAGAAUACGAUUGAAGAUGUUAAGGCAGAAACAAAAAUAAACCAAAAAACCGCCCUCACUAAAAGAGUAUAUAUACUCUGAAUACCAAAAAUGUUAUAACUCAUAUAGUGUAUUGCAGUAAAAGGAAAACAAAGGAUUUGCAUUAGAAAACCCAAAUAUGAUUACCUCAACAUCAGCGCCACGAUGGUAAUCCAUGGUUAAUGUUUCAGCUGUCCUUUUGCCCUCGUCAUAACAGCUCCUAACACCUGUGCAGUGAGAAACAAAUCAAAACAAUGUUAAACAAGCAAUCAAAGAGCAAAACUUUCACGAAGAUAAGUGCCAAACAUGAUCUAUAAACCAAGUAUAAAUUCUUAUGUCGCUCACCUAUAGGAUUAACAUUCCCCCAAUACGUCUCCUUCUGCGGGUGCUCAAGCGGAUCCCCAUAAACCUCGCUGGUGCUCGUUAAUAAGAAGCGAGCACCAAUUCUCUUGGACAAUCCCAACAUAUUCAAUGUUCCCAUCACAUUUGUCUUGUACUCAAUAGUUAAGAACAAACGAGGCAAUUUUGGCACAAAUUUCCCACGUAUAUUAGACACCAGUUUGAACAAGAGGAAAGAUCUAUAAGCAACAUUAAGCAGAAAAUGAUUGCACAAAUCAUAUAAAGCUCAUCAAAGACGACAAAUUUAAGAAGACCAGUAUCUUAUAUAAACAAUCUGAAAUUGAAAUGCUAGUAGAUCAUAUAACGCUCGUCAAAGACCCCUAAAUCUCAAAUUACCCAAUUUCAUCCCGAUCCACCCAUAUCAACCGAGAAAGAGCCAUAAUUUGACCUAGUUAAAAAGCAAAAUCUAGUCCAUAAAACCGACAAAUCUUCACGAAUCACACCAAAACACCCAAAAAAGAGAAAAAAAAAAAAAAAUCUUUGAGCCGGAGAAAAGGAUAUGAUGGUUUUGAUGGGGUUGUGCUUGUAGUGGACGGGGGAGGCGGGGCAGGCGAGGUGGUAGAUCUGGUCGACCUCGAGCAGGAUCGGCUCGACGACGUCGUGGCGGAUGAGCUCGAACCUAGGGUUGCGGAGGUGGUGCGCGACGUUCUCCUUCCUCCCCGUGAAGAAGUUGUCGACGACGAUGACGCUGUCCCCGCGCGCGAUGAGCUUGUCGACGAGGUGGCUCCCCACGAACCCCGCCCCCCCCGUGACCACGAUCCGCAGCGGCGGCUUCCGCAGCCCCACCGGAACCCUACCCCCGCCUCCUCCUCCUCCUCCUCCGCCCCCGCCGGAGAUCGUGGAGAAGGGGCGGACGAGGAGGUGGGGGCGGCGGAGGGGUGGAGGAAGAAGAGGGUGGAGGCGACGAAGGCGCCGAUGAGGACGAAGAGGAGGCGUUGCUCGCGGAGGAUGUACGCCGCGGCGGAGCGGACGAGGGUCGGGGGCGCGCGCGACGACCCCUUCGCGCCCUUCGACGGGUGGGCCGGCAUCUCCGGGCCCCUUUUAUUGGGCCGCUCCAUAUCCAAUCCGAUCCGAUCCGAUCCGAUCCGAUCCGAUCGGAGCGCGAAUCUCAAGGCUGCUCCGGCGACGGUUGGGUGGUGGCGGCGUCGCCGGAGAGGCUUUGUAUAGAAGCGGUGGACGUGGUGGGUGGGGCACUGCACCGGGGUGAGAAAAAUUAGCGAGUCGAGGAGUUGAAAACCCGGGCUCAAAUAUUAUGGGUGGACCCGGUCCAUGGACCGAGCCCCAACUAGAACGUGCCACGUAAUUAUGCGCCAUGUGUAUCAUUUUGCUACUUUUUCGUAUGGAGGAAUGUUAUCUGUACUUCUCAAUAUAUAAAUUCCAUUAAUUCAAUAGGUAGAUGAAUAAUUUUAUAUGGUACACUUUAAAAUAAAAUUUAUAAAUAGUUUUUUUCUGCUGAAUAUUUUUCGUAGAAAAUGUAUAUUAUUGAACUAUAUUAAUUAUAGAAAAAAAUAUAGUAUUAAACUAUAGAAUGAUAAAGUGAGUCCGUGAUUUUAACUUUAUUAUUAUUUUUAUCUACGGUAUCUUUACGAAUUAUAAAUUUGUUAGGUAGUGUUGAAAUUUCUUCUCAAAUAUAAAAGUACGUGUUAUAAAAAUUUAUAUUCCAGUAGCUGUUCGGAUGAUAACAAGAUUAAAUAAUAAUACAGUUUUCCUAAUCCUCAAUACAUACAAGAUUGAUUUCAAUGUGUAGAAAUGUAUGCGCAGUGGAUCGCACAGAACAUGUUUUCUCUCUUCUUCGGUGUGUAUGGGAGGUGUUGGGGAUUUUGUUGGUCUAUGAUGGCACGGUAGAGACGGUUCAGGGAAAAAUGUCUAUGUGAUGUUAGUUUGGGACUAAUCAAAAUCACAUGGCAACAGGUUCAAAGUUGGUACAUAGUUGGGUGGAAUUAGGACCGAUUCCAAUAUUUGUAGCAACACGUCAUUCACAAUGUAGUACAAAGUGUACCAUAUAUUUAGUUUCGUUUGAGCAUGGCACUUUUUUUUUUUUUUUGGGUACAAACCAAUCCAAUAAUUCCAAUGUACUUUAAAAAAAAUCAUUCAAAAUCUUAUUAAAACAAAAAAUAAAUAAAUAAAUUCAACUGACCAUAAAAUUCUUAAGAAUCAUUAGUUAGCAAUCUCCUUAUCAUGUAUCGCGUCGUGCUUCGCCUUCUGCUCCAUCUCCGACCGCAAAUCUCCGACCGCCGCCGCCGCCGCCCUCUCGUCAAGCCAGGCGGUGAUGUCGGAGAAGACGAGCUCGGUGUUCUCCGGGGGUUCGCCCGACGUGAGCGCGUGCCACAUCCCGGGGUAGAGCUUGAAGGCCUUGUCACGGCUCGAGGCCGACUCGUGGAGUAGCUUGCUCACCGAUGGGUCGGUCACCGUGUCGUCGCCGCCGUGCACGAUCAAGAACGGCAAUGAGACCUGCACAUUCGUUUAAUUCACAUUCGCAUCUUUCAAAUUAGAACAUGUAACACAUGCAUUCUUUCUGUUGCAAAAAGAAAAAGUAAAAUAAUUAAUGUUUAAUUACCUGGUUAAGGUUCUUUUCAAUGUCCAAGCUAACCAUAAGAAGUUCAUGUCCCGUUUUCAAUCGGGGCUUUCCCUUGUAACAAUAUGGAUUCGAUCGAAUCUACCAAAAAGAGAAAAAAAAAAAAACAAAAAAUGUAAAAAAAAUGAUAGGAAAUGAUAUGGGUAAUGGCAAUUUAUGUUUAAAUUUUAAACUUGGAUAUUGCCAUAAAAUAUCUUUGGAAUUUUUGGCUUUUUUGAUUAUCAAACGCUUAAUUGGCUUCGAUUCCAAUAAAGAAGCUAUUAAAGAAGAAGGACCUUGACCCACCACCAAAUAAAAUUAUUUUGUUUACUUUUAUUUCAAAAGAGAUGAGAACCAGGGAUGAUCUUAAAUUUCGCAACCUUUUUCUAAUUCAACAAUAGUAGGAAAAAAAUUAUAAAUUCAUAUAUUUUUAAAAGAAUAUUUCUUACUACAGUAGCACUACUAUACUACUAUGAGUAUAGAAAUUCUCAUACUUAUAAGUCGUUUUUGAUAAUAGAAGUUUUGAAUUGAUGAUUCAUACUGUUAAAUAUGAUCUAAAGCAUUUGAAACCUUAGGUCGACUCGAAAUUGCUAGGGCUGUGAUACUUUUUGGAAUUUAAAAUAAUCCUAUAUAUAAGAUAUUAUUGGAUAAAUCUCUUAAUCCGGUAUAGCAUUUUGAGCCAUGAUUAGGUCGAAAAGGUAAGAGGACUAAAUGUGUUAGGAGCAUAGUAAUUUUAGGGUGAAUAACCCUCUGGAAAAUACCUAGAAAAUGAAUUUUAUCAUUUUUUGAAAUUAUAAUGAAAUUCACAGUAGGUAUAAAAUAGAAUGAUCAAAAUUGAGCAACUUCGUUCACGUUUUUCUAUUCAAAAUCUGAGUCAUUGAUCUUGAAUCUAGAUAGUUAAUACAAAUUUUUUAAUAAAAAAAUCAACUAAUUUUGAUCCUUCUGUACCGUUAAAUUAGAACUCGCACCAGACCGGCCAUUAAAAUUAUCAAUUUUGAGGUAUUUCGAUCAUAAGGUAUAUAAGGUCAAAAAAAAUAUGAAAUUUAGUUUUUUAAAAUGCUUAAAUACUCUAAAUUAUGUUUAACUGUACGGAUCAUUGAUUCAGAAGCUUUGUUAUCACAAAAACGAUUUAUGAAUAGAAAGAUGAUCGUACUUAUAUCGUACCGCAAAUAGAUCUUGGUGUAUAUAUUUACCUCCUUUCUUUUCUCUUCACUUUUGUAGGCCUUGUCAAUUACAUCUUGAGUGGGAACUAUCUUCCACUUUGGCACUAUGUUAGAGAGCUUCCUCAGAAUGUUGAUCAUUAUAGGAUUAGGUUUCAUCUCAUCAGCAAUCUGAAAAAUAAAAUUAAUAAUAAUGAGAAUAUAAUUAAACAAAGAAACCUCAUUAAUUAAUUGCCCCCACCAUUUAGUUAUCAUUUCCAAUUAAAAAAAUAGUUACUUGUCCCAAAUGACACAUCAAAGAUGCUUUUAUUAAAUUGAGACAGAUGCGCUACAGCCAUAGAGGAAAAAGUAAACAGCAAUCAGAAAUAUAUUUUUAUUAAGUUCUAGAAUAUGAAGAUGAAAGAGAUGGAGAGGAGAAAUUGUAGCCUACACCAUGUGCACCACAUCAGCUAUGCACUAUCUAAUCGGAUUCCGCGUUUUCAUCCAAUCUCAUAAGGGCGUAGAUUUUUUGCAACCUCGUUAGUUGACUUUACUAUCUGUCAAAGGUGCACUAUAUCGACCGCAAACUACACUAUAAGAGCCUUAUCGUCAACUCUUGUUUUUCUGAAAAAUCAACUUAUAAAUUUAGAAAAGACCAUAAUUCAGUAGGCGGUGCGGGAUUACAGUACAAGAGUUGACGAUAUAUAAGACUCUUAUAGGGUAGUUUGCGGUCGUUAUAGUGCACCGGGUGCAUGUAAGCAAAUAUUUCUAGAUAGAAGAGAUGGGGUGCAUGCUCAUGGUUGACCUUGCACAUGGGGGCGACUAGAAUAGCUCCACUCCAAUAGGUUGGCUCCUUCCUAUGUAGAAGAAGAGCCACUGCUCCCCCCAUUGAUUCCCCAAGAAGAAACCUCAGCUUCUUCUUGUUCUCAUGCUUCUCUGCAAUUUCAUUUUCAAAAUAUUACAUGACAUAUAAUAAGUUAAAAGCCUAGUUCAUCAAAAAGAUGUGUAGUUACUCACCACAAACACUCAUGAAAUAGGUUGAGCAAUCUCCAACAAGGUCAUCAAAGUUUGGUAUGUAGCCCUGUAACCCAGAAGAUUUUCCGUGGCCCUCGUAAUCCAUCCCGUAAACGGCGUAACCCGCUUUCGCCAAUCGAAUUCCGGUCUCUGAAUUAAUCAAAUAAAGUGAGUGCAUGCCAAAUGAUCAGUUUACAUUUAUUCAAAAAUAAAUGUCCAAUUAAUAGAAGUGAUUUAGUACACACACACACAUACCUCUCAUAGUUAUGCUGCACUCCACUGCAUAUCCUGAAAAAUUGUACCCAAACAUGAAAAGAAAUUAUUAAUUUCCAAAACUUAUAUACAUGUAUAUGUGAGAAAAAGUAAUGAGUGAGUUUAUGCAUACCAUGACAUAAAAAGAUCAGAGCUUUGGGAGGUGUAUUUUGGGGCAACCAUCUACAUGUGAACAACUUCAUGCCACGAGAGUUGGUGAUGUACUCCUACAUGCAAUCCCAUGCAUGCAAAUGUUACAAAAGGAUCUUACAUAGAAGAAGAAAAAAAAACAAAAGGACAAAUCUAGAGAGAGAAAGAGAGAUUUAACACAGGAAAAGGUUGAUAGAAGAAUCCUUGUUACCUCUUCAUAUCUUAUAUUCUCAUUACUUUUGGCCUGUAAAAUAUCAAAAAUACAAAUGAACUAUAUUAGGAAUCAAAUCAUAUAGCUAUAUAGAGAGAGAGAUGAUAUAUCCCCUUGAACAUACCAUGAUAAGAGUCAAAGGGAAGAGAGAGAGAGAGAGAGAGAGAGAGAGAGAGAGAGAGAGAGAGAGAGAGGGAGAGGGAGAGAGAUGACUUUGAAAUGGGGUUAUUAGAGAUGAUAAAAAGAAUAUAAGAUAAAAAAGGAGAGAUCCAAAUUUGUUAAGGACUCAGUAUAAGAAGGGGAAUAUAUAUGCAAAUAAAAAGAAAGUUAUGGUAUGGAAACAUUAGUGGAUACCUCACCUGUCAAGUGGAGAAAGUAUUUGCCAUGUGUCACCUUUUAAUUGGUUAAUUGUAAAAAUUAUUUGUUGCUUAAAAGAUUCUUUUUGGGGGGUUAAAAAUAAUAUAUCAUUUUGUGUAUUAUUAUAACUAGUAUAUACAAUACAAUGAAAAAUAAUAUAUAACUAAUAUACAAUAGUUGUGUAUUAUAAUAUACAUCAUUUUGAGAUUCGUGUGUAAGUCGAUCUUAUUAUGAUAUAUAUAGUUUUCCUUUUGUCUAUAAUCAACUAUCAUGUACAUGCACUUGAGAGUGGUUAUAGUAUUACUCGAAUAUAAAUACUAGAGCCUCUGAUUCAUACGUACGCUACACUUUAACUAGUAUAUAUAUAUGAUCUAGAAAUGAUGUAUUAGUUAGAUAAAUAAUUUACUCUUUUGUAGGAAAGAAAUCUUUGGCAUUCCUUUAUAUACGGCAUAAAGAGUGGAUCAUCAAAUUAAUGUGGGCGAUUAAAAUAUAAUAAUUUUAUGAGUGUUCAUCUCCCCUAGGUUAGAGAUGCGUGUAUUGUUUUGAUUAUUUUCUUAAUACGAAAUACUAACUAGCUUUUUAAGCCAACUAUUGUUAAUGAGAAAAAUUAAAACUUUAAAAAGUCUCCUGUGGUGCAACAUAUUCCAAUUUCCUAUCAAUUCAUAAUGUAACAUUUCAUAUUUGUGAGUUCCUUCAUGAAAUUGUGUAUGAACAUGAUUUUAUACUUAAAAUUACGAUACAAUAAUAAAGUAAUAAACUGUAAAAUUCCCAUAAAGGUUUUACUUAUCGAAAAUGUAUGAAAAUUGAUUUCUAAACACUUCAAGUGGUAUAAAUCAUGUUCAACGAUACCGAUCGUCGAUUUAGAGGCUCAAUCAUAAAAAAUAAAUGGAUAGCAACAGAGCCCAUUUGCUACGAAUAGUAUUCUAACUCAACUAUAUAUAUAUAUAUAUAUAUAUAUAUAUAUAUAUAUAUAUAUAUAUAUAUAGAGUUGACCUAGAAUACUAUCGGUAAUAAACGAGCCGUUUUACUACCGAUUUGUUUUCGAUGAUAGAGCUUCCAAAUUGACGAUCGGCUCCGUUAAAUAUGAUCUAAACCAUUUAAACUACCUAAAAAUCAAAUUUCACGUACUUUCGAUAUUGUUCUUUUAUCCAUCAAAUGAACAGAAAAAUGAAUGGCUGAAAAUGAAUACUCUUUAAAAAAUGAUGAUAGGAGUCUUGUAAUCAAGAUCAAGAGUAUAGAUCUUGUUUUAAAUAGUUUAAAGAAUUUUCUAACAAAAAUUCAAUUGAUUUGGAUAUCUUUACGCUGUUAAACGAGAAAACGCCUCUUAUCGACCAUUAAAAUUACAAAUUUUGAAACCCUUUGAUCAUUACGCAAAUGAUGUCGAAAAUAUUUGAAAUUUGAUUUCUAAACACUUCAAGUGGUAUAGAUCAUGUUCAACGGAGCCGAUCGUCAAUUUGGAAGUUCUAUCAUCGAAAACAAAUCGGUAGUAAAACGACUCGUUUACUGCUGAUAGUAUUCUAGCUCAACUUUAUAUAUAUAUAUAUAAUGUGAAAAAAUAAUAAAAUACUGAUAAAGUCCUCCUCAUUCUUAAAUUU